GAGCUCACUUCGGCAGCACAUAUACUAACAUUGGAACAAUACACAGAAGAUUAGCAUUUGCCCCUGAGCAAAGAUGACAGGAAAAUUCAUGAAGCCCCGUUCAUAAAU
Molecule: small nuclear RNA, 108 nt
Organism: Callithrix jacchus (white-tufted-ear marmoset)
Lineage: Eukaryota; Metazoa; Chordata; Mammalia; Primates; Cebidae
Source: Ensembl